UUAUGCCUCCAAGCACUGAUGCCGCAUGUGAUGACGUACAUCUUCGUACCACCACAUGCAACGUCAGUGCUUAGAGGCAUAA
This 82-nucleotide microRNA precursor is filed under the name Ixodes scapularis (black-legged tick). Its description in RNAcentral is "mir-252 microRNA precursor family". It matches the Rfam family "mir-252 microRNA precursor family". The record is from Rfam by way of RNAcentral. Lineage: Eukaryota; Metazoa; Arthropoda; Arachnida; Ixodida; Ixodidae.